This is a long non-coding RNA of Cyprinus carpio carpio, 1640 nucleotides long. Lineage: Eukaryota; Metazoa; Chordata; Actinopteri; Cypriniformes; Cyprinidae. The record is from Ensembl.
AAAUUCCCCCAUAUACUUUCCCUCAUACUUUGAGGAAUAGGAAUCUCUUCCAGAUGAAAUGAAGGAACGACUUGACACAGUUCGCUUUAAUGGGGUGACAAAAUGAAUCACGACUCCUCCAAGUAUCCAUCACGACCAAAAAGGUCUACUGGUAGGGGCCAAAGUCAUUUGUUGGGCAGAGCUGGACACCCGGUUUGCGAGUCACAAUCAAUCAUGUUGGCACAGUGCGCCAAAAAAGGGAGGAAAGGGAAGAAAAAAGGUCUGUGGAAACGCGCGGACCAAAAUACGAUUCCCUCCCGUGCUAGUCUCACGGCGGCGCUCCUUUAUAUUCGGGGAAACAAAAGGAAAUAUGAGCGCAGUGUCAGUUUAUUGAGUAGAGAGGCUCGGGCAAAUUGCACAUGACGUUGGGUAGGUGGAUGGCCCGCGACUUAAAAUGAAGGUGUGGGGAGAGAAAAGGAGCGACUAUGUUUUAUUUAAACAUCCUUCGGGAGACUACAGGCUCAGGUAAUCUGUUGUGUUACAACUCAGUGCCCCGUUCCCCUCCAUCCGCCGCGAUAACAGCGAGCGCCUAAUAGGAACCCAUCAAUCACAAUAAGCUUCCAAUUUCGCCCGGUGUCUCUACACUCUCAGCCACUGUUUAACGUGCUCUAAUAACGGUGAUAACAUACUUCUAUAGCCGCAGAUAGCGACCCGAGCUCAGCCGAGAGGUCAUUUACCUCGCGCAGAUUAAACAGCGGUGAAGUCAGCAUCUCUUUUAACUGGAGGAUGUAUCUGUAGCCUAAUAUACGAGGAGAAAAGUGACAAGAUUCCGAGAAGAGCGAGGCAAAAGCUCAAAAGUGCUGUAUAAAAACACGAGUAGCCUUGAGAGAGGGCAUAGAUACACUGAUGGAAGCGGGAGAUCUGAUUGUGAUUAUGUUGCUUAUGCUUACCUAAUGAUUUUUGCUCCACUGGUUUGCUCGAUUUCACUGUCUGAGGAAAGGCAGUCUAUUAGAGUGUCAAGGUAACUGGAAUCGUCUGUAGCCCCUCUCUCUCACCCAUCUAUACCGUACACGACGAGCCUGCGAUGAGAAAGACCUACUAGAAGAGAUAAAUGCAUAGUGGCUGCAGUAGUGGUGCGGUAAUGAACAUGCCACAUUUGCAAGCCCGCGCCGUCAAAGCGCGCUAAUUACGGUCUUUAUCCAUAAGGCCUUCUUCCGACAUGUCACCGCCCCCCUAAAGCAAAUGUGUGAGAAUGAAAUUCAUUUUGCAACAGAUUGUAGGCCUACUUUUGUGUUGAACAAUAUCAGUCAUGUGCCGUGUUCCGAGGGUCAGGACUUUACACGGCAAAAUUAAAAGGUAAUUAAGGCCCCUUUUUGGGGUUUCAUUUAGAUUGUCAAGCUGUUUUAGGCAACAACCGAAUUACACAUUUCCUUAAAUUGUUUUGAGUCCUUGUAAGUAAAUGUUUUCAGGUGGUUGUCCAAAGCUUUUCGUCACUGUGGCAAUCUGAGGAACCCCAAAUGGUGCCUCAAGUAUAUUUUAAUUUUUACAAAGAAAGUAAGCUUUCUGGAAUUAUAGUCACCACUCGCAAGCACGUGUUCUAAAUGAACUCUUUAGACUAAAACGAGAUUUGGCUUCUUACUAAAUUUUCUCUAAAUCCCCAG